AGGGGGAGGGACUGAGAAGUUGUUGAUGUUCACAUUUUUUGGCUAAGUCCUGGAUCUUCGCAAUCCUACCUGCAGCACCUUUAAUGGUUGUGACAACAACAACUUUAUUCUAACAUGAUAAUACUGAUUUUUCAACCACCGGUUCUCGCUAUUAUCAAGCUAGACAGAAUAAAGCUGUCAUGACAAUAUAUACUUGGUAAAUUACUAUACUGAAGGCCUUUUUUCUUGGUGACCUGGUGACUCUUUAGAGCCAUCUGAAGGCAGUAGGUAUCUGUUCCAUCUGCAGUCUCUAAUUGGAGUGAUGAUGCGCACAGCAGAUCGCACAGGGUACAUUUUGGGCAACCAGCAUCAGAAAGCUGUAAAAUAACCACAGAAACCUCCCUGCCCAUGUGCACAUCAAGCGUGUAAAGAGAACAAACACUCUGUGAAGAGAAAGUACUGACAGUUGCUGAUUCUGAUGGCAAAAAUUCCACAAUACCCUUUCAGCAUAUUGUAAUUCAAGUGGUCUGAGAGAAAAAUAGACUUUUGGCUCUGUUUUCAGGCUUUAGAAAAUCUAGCCUGUGACUGGUGACUAGGCAUGAAUAUGCAUUUUUCCCAAAUUAUCGAAUAUAGUGAAUCAUCGAAAGGAAGAAGGAACACACACGUAAAUAAUAUUUCAUUUUGUUCCCAUUCAAUGGCCCUAAAGGGAAAAAAUAGAAUGCCCACUUCUUAUAUUUGGCUUCAUACACGUGAAAUCAUAAAAUAGACGAAGAAAAAGAAUUACAAAGCCAAAUAAGUUUUAAAAGGCCAUGUGUGUGGGGUAGAUUGUGUAAUUGGAGGCAUAGGUAGAUACUUCACUACGAGCUGCUUUUGAUCAUUCUCUGUUUCACAGAUUUUGUGUUUACCUCAACUCUUUUUGGAGUUAAAAUGAAUGAUUCAAGGGUGAUGUAACACCUAUUCACUGUAGUACAAAGUAGCACAAGAGCGUUGAGUGAUGCUGUUUUCCUUCAAACGUUAACAUCCCGCUAGCCAUGUGUGUGACAUCAAUAUUUAAUAAAAGCAUACUCUUUGAAUUGUA
Molecule: long non-coding RNA, 1057 nt
Organism: Sander lucioperca (pikeperch)
Lineage: Eukaryota; Metazoa; Chordata; Actinopteri; Perciformes; Percidae
Exons: 2
Source: RefSeq, a predicted model, not a curated record